Molecule: long non-coding RNA, 2164 nt
Organism: Panicum hallii
Lineage: Eukaryota; Viridiplantae; Streptophyta; Magnoliopsida; Poales; Poaceae
Exons: 3
Source: RefSeq, a predicted model, not a curated record
UUUACGAAAAAAUAUAAGAAAGUUAAACCUGUUAGAUUAUAGGAAAUAUUAGUCUCUUUGCAUGCAUAAUGCAUUGUGCAUAUGAAGGAUAUCAGAAAUGGGCACAUUGUAGGAAUACAUGACUGUUAUUCCUGCCUGUAGGAACCAUGUAGCACAAUCCAGCGACAGGGCUCAAAAACUAUGCAAACAGUUAGAUCUUUAUGAACUUCUGCAUUAUAUCAUUGAACUGAAUUAAUGCUUCCAACGAAAAUGAUCUGUACUCAUAAAAUAACUUGGCACUCCUCAUCUUUGGAUCUCCAAAACCUGCAGAAGAUAGAUAAUUAUCACCAAAACUCAACAGCAAGAAGUGAUGUUAUCUGAUUGGUGCAGGCAGAGCAGCCAAUUAGAUACAAUGUAUGGAUGUACAAGUUAUACACCUGGUUACAUAUUCGUAAAGGAAGUCGCCUAGGUGAUACCUGGGCACCUAAUUUCCGUAUAUCCUGCCUACGUGCCAGAUUAGCAUGGUUAUUAUGCAUUAGGGACCGCCUUGCCAUCUACCUAGCACCCACUACUUUCAGAACAAAACUAGUUUGAAUGAUUGAUAUCAUAUGAGUUGGGGUGGAGUGUGCCUACAUAUUUAGCUAACUAGCUCCUUUUAUUAACCUGCAAAGUAGAGUUCAAGAAGCCAAACCCAGACUGCUAGAUUUCUGAUGACCCUAGUUUGGCCAUCUGUAGUUUAGUAGCUUUGCAUAUGACUCCACAGCUUUGAACAAUGUUUACUGGGAGCUGGGCUAUGACAAUGGCUGCUGACUAAACUGGUCUGACACAACUGUACCAAGAUCGAACGAUUUGGGUCUACCAACCUUAUCCAUUGUCUGGAUUACACCAGUGCAUGAUUAAUUUUCCAUCCAGUCUUUUCGAUCAUCUUUUAUAAAUUGCCUACAGAGCAGAGUACCAGCCAAUUAAAAUCAUUUAUGGAUAGCGCAACCAAUUGCACAAGCUACUCAUUAUUGGAUGGAGUCUUUGUCCAGACACCAUGAGCUCCAUGCACACAUAGAUUCUUGAGCUCAAACUAUCUCUUAGGCAUCAAUUCUUUCUUCAGUGUCUUUGGCAUGUAUUCAUCCUCAAGUUGCCUGCAAAUUUCCGGUGAGCUAUGCUUUUCGUUAAUAUGCAUUUCUCAUCAAUCCACCUAAAUCUUUUUUUUCUUAUUCGCCUUGCCGGCAUCCUAAUCUCAAUAUUCCUUGUGCGGCAAAGAAGCUUGCUGUGGCUUUCAUGGAACAUAUGCUGCCUGAGAAUGCAAAUAAACUAUCACGGCGGCGACUAUCUUACGCUUAGUGAUAGUUACUGUUCAGGGAUGCUCUUUGAGCAACUAGUCUGGUCUAGUGGUUAUGUGAUGCUCUUGCAGUUCACAGGCAGCGUGGAAGCACCUGAAGGAUUCAUUCCCGAUAUGGAAAUCUGUGGUUAAAGUAAAUCAAAUGGAGGUGAUGAGGCGAACAUCUUUGAUAUUCUUUCAUUGGGAGCAUCGCUGGAGCAUAAGGCAUUUCUAGUCCUGGUUCUUGUGUUGGCGUGACUCGUUCGGCUUCGUACCAAUGCUACGGGAACAUGGAGAAACAUCACGAGUGCCUUCCCGAACUGCUGCCAAUCAAGCAUGAUUAGCUGAACCAGACUUGCUAGCUGCCCUUUUGCAGCGAAAAAGGGACGGAAACCAUCCACCUCCAGAGCUGAUGAUCCAAAGGACACGGCGGCGAGAGUGCCUGUCGCGGUCGGCGGCGGCAUGCGGCACGGCGGGCGCAUCCCUGAUCGUUCUCGCUUUGACAAGCGGAUCAAAAGUUCAGAGCCCGCGCGCGGGGGGCGGGUUCGUGUACCGCGACCUUGCAACCGCGCGUCGCGCUCCGGCGGUUGGGCAGCGGCGCACGGCGGAAGUCAGCUGCUUCGCGUCCGUCCGCGCCGGCGCGGCCGAAUCUCCCGUCGCGAUAGGGGGAUCACGGCGCGGUCUCUGAGGCGGUCGCGCCGCGACGGACGAAGGUGGUGCCGUGCCGAAAGCCAGGGCGGGACGGCAUUAAGAUUUCACGUUCGCGCGUUCGGCGAGGUCAGGUUCGGACAGCGACACAAGUAGGUGAGCAUAUAGGCACAGAGGUGCAAACCAAACGCAUGGCUAGUUCACUUGCCCCUUCUUUUUUUUUUU